Molecule: long non-coding RNA, 2716 nt
Organism: Felis catus (domestic cat)
Lineage: Eukaryota; Metazoa; Chordata; Mammalia; Carnivora; Felidae
Exons: 2
Source: RefSeq, a predicted model, not a curated record
GAAUGGCUAGCUAUCUUUGCUACAAUUGCUCACCUGAAAUUAUAGGUUGGUUUUCUCCAUAUCAGAGCUGCUUUGUGAGUGAACUCUACUGUACCUCCUGUGCCAAAAGUGAAGCUCCUUGAGGAGGUGAGUAAGGGGAGUGUGUUCAACUAACUUCCUGGUAAACAGAUCAGAGAAUAAUAGAAUCUCAGUGUUGAAAGGACUGUCAGUCAUCAUCUCGUUCAACCACUCACCUGAAAAUCUCAACUUCCUUUUAGACUUGCCCAAUUUUACGUGUGAAAACCGAAGACUUACCCAGAGUCACAGAAAGAGUGGUGACAAUCAGGACUAGGAUCCAGAGAACGUGAAUUUUUUCCUGGCUCCUGAAAAAUGCAUGAACAUGGAACUAUCAUCACAAUCUCGCCUUAUUUACAUGAGAGUGUGGAAAACAGACACAUGAAGCACCCUGGCUGUUUGGAACUGAAAACAAGUAUUCUUCUAUGACAGGAAAGCACUAAAGGUCAAAUGACUCUCAGAGCUGGGGCAGGCACUCUGAUCUCAGAGUCCCACAGAGAGGGCGGCGUUCCGGGGACGUGGGGCCCUUGUCAUGGCAGCUCUUCUUCCCGUCUUCCUAGCAACCUUCACACCACCCCUCCCCCACUUCUCAAGGCUCUUACCAGGCCUGUGCUUCUGUGGCCUGUGGAAGAAGUGGAAGCUUUUGCAGUCAACAAGAGAGAAGGAGGUGAUGUUCCACCAUGAGCUCUGGCAGCACUUUACUUAGCUUUCUUUUGGGACAUCUAGAAAAUGGCCACUCGGAAAAAUCCUCCCCUAAGAGGGCUGAUUUUCUGAGACUUUUUUUGCUCCGGGCCAGAUAAAAAGAACUGGAAAAAGAAGACAGGCCUCCUGCUAUUAUGUAACCAGGGUGUCUGGCCUUGUUCAUAUCCUGGCUUCCUGAGGGACGUCACUUCCUUUCCCAAUAUCCUUUGGAUGUACUGGUAGAUAUGCAGGGUCUUGUGUUUCCCUUGCAAUUCUUUUGGGAUGAAAUGAUCUUCUUUCUUACUGUCUCCUUCCUGUCCCUCCUUCUUCUCCUUCCUUCCUUCCUUCCUUCCUUCCUUCCUUCCUUCCUUCUUUCCUUCCUUCCUAUGCAUUUUUCUGUCAGAUUUUCCUUUGUCUUUUUCCUGAACAUGCCACCAGGAGAAAGUCAUGAUUGUCUUGUUGAGUUCCUUCUGCAUUUUGGAACAGUCUUGGGAAGUGUGUUUUUAUGAAGCAACUCAGGAACUUGAGCUAUCUGCAAUGACCUCCCCCACCUCCUCUGGAGUAGACCUUCACUUCCAUAAUCAGGAUGGCUUUGGAUCCUUUUCCCAGAUCACUCUGUUACAUGAUUCUAUACUACAUGUGAUCCAUUUUGCUAGGAAUGAACUGAUAUUAUUAUUAUUAUUGUUUAUUUAUUUCUGACAGACAGACAGAGAGAGACAGAGAGAGACAGAGCAUGAGCAGGGGAGGGGCAGAGAGAGAGGGAGACACAAAAUGUGAAGCAGGCUCCAGGCUCUGAGCUGUCAGCACAGAGCCCAACGCGGGGCUUGAACUUGUGAACUGUGAGAUCAUGACCUGAGUCAAAGUUGGAUGCCCAACCGUCCAAUAUUAUUAACUUGACCUUUAGGUGGUAGGGUAACAAUUCUGUAGGAUGAUGAGGAGAGGCUUUUAGAACAUGCACAAUGUAGUAGAAGGGUAGAAAGAAGGAGAGCUUUGGGAUUAUUGCACCCUAUGUUCAAAUCCCAAGUUUGUCACCUGUGUGACAGCAAGAAGGUCACUAUAACUUUUCUGAACAUCAGUUUCCAUACCUGAAGAAUCGAAGCAAUAAUAUUGCUAACAUUAUGGGAUUAUUGAAGGCCAAAGUCUUGACUUCAGAAGAUGCCUAAUGAAUGUAAACACCUCAAUUUUCUUGCUGAUAAUAGAAGAGCAGACCCUCCUAAUUCUCUUGUAAACAUUUUUCCUAUUGACUGGACCUACCACUUACUGAGGGCUUACUUUUUGCCAGCUCCUCUUCUUAGCAUUUUGUUUCAGUUAAUCUUCAUUACAAUCUCAUGACCUAGAGAUACUUUGAAUUGACCUGUGAAAAGCUGUGACUUUCAAGGGGGCUAAAUGACUCACUUGAGGACACCCAACUGGGAAGCAGCUCAACAGGAGAGCUGGAUUCAGCUUCCCCCUGUCAGGCUCGUUCCAGAACCCUCACGUUGAACUACCAUGCACACUGCCUUCCAGUAGCGUAUAUUUGGGGCAAGCAUUUCCUUUGGUAUUUCCAAAGCAGGAAGUCCAAUGGGAUAGCCAGACCUUUCAUAGAGACAUAAGAAUUAAAAUAACUCGGCUGUGAUCAAUGGGAAGAGGUGUUUCACUGAGACCUGCUGUUGAAGUAAUCAAGGACUCAUUACUCGAAGAAAUUGUUUUCAGCUUGGAUUCACUUUUUGCUGCCGGGUCUGGGCUCGUCAUCAUGGACAGAAGGCGUACUUGUUAAUGCUGGUGUGUUAAAGUUGAACAGUGCCCAGAGCCAGGCACCUGCAGUAAUUUCUCCAUGUAUUAAAGCCUUGAGGCAGGUCUAUGAAAGGUGGUAAUAGGCACAUCUUGGAAAAGACUGUUUUUUCGCAGAUUGAACAAAGGUUUGGAAACUAAAAGCCACUUUCUUUUUUUAAAACUGUAAGAUCUAAUAAUAUUUAUAAGAAAAAUAAAAAUGUCAUUCUGG